This 547-nucleotide ribosomal RNA is filed under the name uncultured bacterium. RNAcentral describes it as "bacterial SSU rRNA". It matches the Rfam family "Bacterial small subunit ribosomal RNA", at positions 358 to 916 of the family's 1533-position model. The record is from RNAcentral.
GGAAUAUUGGGCAAUGGAGGAAACUCUGACCCAGCGACGCCGCGUGCGGGAUGAAGGCCUUCGGGUUGUAAACCGCUUUCAGUAGGGAAGAAGCGAAAGUGACGGUACCUACAGAAGAAGCACCGGCUAACUAUGGGCCAGCAGCCGCGGUAAUACAUAGGGUGCAAGCGUUGUCCGGAAUUAUUGGGCGUAAAGAGCUCGUAGGUGGUUUGAUACGUCGGGUGUGAAAUUCAGGGGCUCAACCCCUGACCUGCAUUCGAUACGGUCAAGCUAGAGUUUGGUAGGGGAGACUGGAAUUCCUGGUGUAGCGGUGGAAUGCGCAGAUAUCAGGAGGAACACCGAUGGCGAAGGCAGGUCUCUGGGCCAAUACUGACACUGAGGAGCGAAAGCGUGGGGAGCGAACAGGAUUAGAUACCCUGGUAGUCCACGCCGUAAACGGCGGGCGCUAGUUGUGCGAACCUUCCACGGUUUGUGCGACGCAGCUAACGCAUUAAGCGCCCCGCCUGGGGAGUACGAUCGCAAGAUUAAAACUCAAAGGAAUUGACGG